Molecule: ribosomal RNA, 468 nt
Filed under: uncultured bacterium
Lineage: Bacteria
Description: partial 16S ribosomal RNA
Rfam family: Bacterial small subunit ribosomal RNA
Source: RNAcentral
GACGAACGCUGGCGGCGUGCUUAACACAUGCAAGUCGAACGGAAAGGCCCUGCUUUUGUGGAGUGCUCGGGUGGCGAACGGGGGAGUAACACGUGAGUAACCUGCCCUUGACUUUGGGAUAACUUCAAGCAACUGGGGCUAAUACCGGGGAGGAGCUGCUGCUGGGUGGUGGGGGUUGGAAAGUUUCGGCGGUUGGGGAUGGACUCGCGGCUUAUCAGCUUGUUGGUGGGGUAGUGGCUUACCAAGGCUUUGACGGGUAGCCGGCCUGAGAGGGUGACCGGCCACAUUGGGACUGAGAUACGGCCCAGACUCCUACGGGAGGCAGCAGUGGGGAAUAUUGCACAAUGGGCGGAAGCCUGAUGCAGCAACGCCGCGUGCGGGAUGACGGCCUUCGGGUUGUAAACCGCUUUCGCCUGUGACGAAGCGUGAGUGACGGUAAUGGGUAAAGAAGCACCGGCUAACUACGUG